AAACGGGCGCGAGUCCUGGGUGAAAACCCAAAGGCGGAAUGAAAGUGAAAGGGGCUUAGCCCCUGAGGGAGGAUGGGCGUGCAGCCUUUACAGGCGGCGCCCCGCACUCCCGGGGCGUCUCUUUCUCAUUACGAGUUGAGGCGCACCUAAAGCGCACACGCUGAUACCCGAAAGAUGGUGAACUAUGCCUGGCCAGGACGAAGCCAGGGGAAACCCUGGUGGAGGUCCGCAGCGAUUCUGACGUGCAAAUCGAUCGUCGGAGCUGGGUAUAGGGGCGAAAGACCAAUCGAACCAUCUAGUAGCUGGUUCCCUCUGAAGUUUCCCUCAGGAUAGCUUGCGCUCGGUGAGACGAGUCUCAUCCGGUAGAGCGAAUGAUUAGAGGCCUUGGGGUCGAAACGACCUCAACCUAUUCUCAAACUCCAAAUAGAUGAGAUCCCCGGCUUGCUUGAAAGUGAAGCCGGGAGACUCGGAUCAGAGUGCCAAGUGGGCCAAUUUUGGUAAGCAGAACUGGCGCCGCGGGAUGAACCAAACGCAGAGUUAAGGCGCCUGAAUCGACGCUCAUGUGAAACCAUGAAAGGCGUUGGUGCUUAAGACAGCAGCCGUUA
RNAcentral lists this ribosomal RNA (605 nucleotides) under Blaptostethus aurivillus. Its description in RNAcentral is "eukaryotic LSU rRNA". It matches the Rfam family "Eukaryotic large subunit ribosomal RNA", at positions 678 to 1250 of the family's 3401-position model. The record is from RNAcentral. Lineage: Eukaryota; Metazoa; Arthropoda; Insecta; Hemiptera; Anthocoridae.